AUUGAACGCUGGCGGCAUGCCUUACACAUGCAAGUCGAACGGCAGCACGGGAGCUUGCACCUGGUGGCGAGUGGCGAACGGGUGAGUAAUACAUCGGAACAUGUCCUGAAGUGGGGGCUAGCCCGGCGAAAGCCGGAUUAAUACCGCAUACGAUCCACGGAUGAAAGCGGGGGACCUUCGGGCCUCGCGCUAUAGGGUUGGCCGAUGGCUGAUUAGCUAGUUGGUGGGGUAAAGGCCUACCAAGGCGACGAUCAGUAGCUGGUCUGAGAGGACGACCAGCCACACUGGGACUGAGACACGGCCCAGACUCCUACGGGAGGCAGCAGUGGGGAAUUUUGGACAAUGGGCGAAAGCCUGAUCCAGCAAUGCCGCGUGUGUGAAGAAGGCCUUCGGGUUGUAAAGCACUUUUGUCCGGAAAGAAAUCCUUGGCGCUAAUACCGUCGGGGCAUGACGGUACCGGAAGAAUAAGCACCGGCUAACUACGUG
This 486-nucleotide ribosomal RNA is filed under the name uncultured bacterium. RNAcentral describes it as "partial 16S ribosomal RNA". It matches the Rfam family "Bacterial small subunit ribosomal RNA", at positions 30 to 507 of the family's 1533-position model. The record is from RNAcentral.